UACGAAGGGAGCUAGCGUUGUUCGGAAUCACUGGGCGUAAAGCGCACGUAGGCGGAUUUGUCAGUCAGGGGUGAAAUCCCGGGGCUCAACCUCGGAACUGCCUUUGAUACAGCAAGUCUUGAGUUCGAGAGAGGUGGGUGGAAUUCCUAGUGUAGAGGUGAAAUUCGUAGAUAUUAGGAAGAACACCGGUGGCGAAGGCGGCCCACUGGACCGGCAUUGACGCUGAGGUGCGAAAGCGUGGGGAGCAAACAGG
RNAcentral lists this ribosomal RNA (253 nucleotides) under uncultured bacterium. RNAcentral's name for it is "partial 16S ribosomal RNA". It matches the Rfam family "Bacterial small subunit ribosomal RNA", at positions 524 to 776 of the family's 1533-position model. The record is from RNAcentral.